UAAGUCAGUCAGACGGUCGCAUCGCAAGAUGAGGAAAGUCCGAGCACCACAGGGUAAGGCGGCAGGUAACUCCUGCUGAAGGCGACUUCAAGGAAAGUGCAACAGAAAAGUACCGCGCGGCUAAAGCCGCGUAAGGGUGAAAAGGUGAGGUAAGAGCUCACCGGCAGUUCGGCGACGAAAUUGGCCGUGUAAACCCCGCCCGGUGCAAGAGAAAAGAGCCUAUGGAUGACCCGUCCGGCUCCUUAAUCGCUUGAACGCAUAGGCGACUAUGCGUCUAGACAGAUGACCGUCAGAUACAGAACUCGGCUUACAGACUGGCUUAGCAC
This 326-nucleotide RNase P RNA is filed under the name Clostridiales bacterium. Its description in RNAcentral is "RNase P RNA component class A". It matches the Rfam family "Bacterial RNase P class A". From Rfam's summary of the family: Ribonuclease P (RNase P) is a ubiquitous endoribonuclease, found in archaea, bacteria and eukarya as well as chloroplasts and mitochondria. Its best characterised activity is the generation of mature 5'-ends of tRNAs by cleaving the 5'-leader elements of precursor-tRNAs. The record is from RNAcentral. Lineage: Bacteria; Bacillati; Bacillota; Clostridia; Eubacteriales. RNAcentral also lists the same sequence under 1 other name.